RNAcentral lists this ribosomal RNA (534 nucleotides) under uncultured bacterium. RNAcentral's name for it is "bacterial SSU rRNA". It matches the Rfam family "Bacterial small subunit ribosomal RNA", at positions 38 to 564 of the family's 1533-position model. The record is from RNAcentral.
GGCGGCACGCCUCAUACAUGCAAGUCGAGCGAUCGGAUGCUGGGUGCUUGCACCCGGCAUCACGGAGCGGCGAACGGGUGAGUAACACGUGGGCAACUUGCCUCGAGGACGGGGAUAACUCCGGGAAACUGGGGCUAAUACCCGAUGACCUUUUUGGAUCGCAUGGUCCGAUAAGCAAAAGGUUCUUCCGCCUCGAGAGGGGCUCACGGCCUAUCAGCUUGUUGGUGGGGUAACGGCCCACCAAGGCUUUGACGGGUAGCCGGCCUGAGAGGGUGUCCGGCCACAUCGGGACUGAGACACGGCCCGAACUCCUACGGGAGGCAGCAGUAGGGAAUCUUGCACAAUGGGCGAAAGCCUGAUGCAGCGAUGCCGCGUGAGGGAUGAAGGCCUUCGGGUUGUAAACCUCUUUCAGUAGGGAAGAAGCCACGGGACACCGUGGUGACGGUACCUGCAGAAGAAGCCCCGGCUAACUACGUGCCAGCAGCCGCGGUAAAACGUAGGGGGCUAGCGUUGCCCGGAUUCACCGGGCGUAAA